Molecule: ribosomal RNA, 498 nt
Filed under: uncultured bacterium
Lineage: Bacteria
Description: partial 16S ribosomal RNA
Rfam family: Bacterial small subunit ribosomal RNA
Source: RNAcentral
AUUGAACGCUGGCGGCAUGCCUUACACAUGCAAGUCGAACGGUAACAGGUCUUCGGAUGCUGACGAGUGGCGAACGGGUGAGUAAUACAUCGGAACGUGCCUAGUAGUGGGGGAUAACUACUCGAAAGAGUGGCUAAUACCGCAUGAGAUCUACGGAUGAAAGCAGGGGAUCGCAAGACCUUGUGCUACUAGAGCGGCCGAUGGCAGAUUAGGUAGUUGGUGGGAUAAAAGCUUACCAAGCCGACGAUCUGUAGCUGGUCUGAGAGGACGAUCAGCCACACUGGGACUGCGACACGGCCCAGACUCCUACGGGAGGCAGCAGUGGGGAAUUUUGGACAAUGGGCGAAAGCAUGAUCCAGCAAUGCCGCGUGCAGGAUGAAGGCCUUCGGGUUGUAAACUGCUUUUGUACGGAACGAAAAGCCCUGGGUUAAUACCCUGGGGUCAUGACGGUACCGUAAGAAUAAGCACCGGCUAACUACGUGCCAGCCGCCGCCGUAA